RNAcentral lists this ribosomal RNA (445 nucleotides) under Hansenula anomala. RNAcentral describes it as "eukaryotic LSU rRNA". The stretch from base 57 to 210 matches the Rfam family "5.8S ribosomal RNA". The record is from RNAcentral. Lineage: Eukaryota; Fungi; Ascomycota; Saccharomycetes; Phaffomycetales; Wickerhamomycetaceae.
GUUAAAACCUUUAACCAAUAGUCAUGAAAAUUUUUAACAAAAAUUAAAAUCUUCAAAACUUUCAACAACGGAUCUCUUGGUUCUCGCAACGAUGAAGAACGCAGCGAAAUGCGAUACGUAUUGUGAAUUGCAGAUUUUCGUGAAUCAUCGAAUCUUUGAACGCACAUUGCACCCUCUGGUAUUCCAGAGGGUAUGCCUGUUUGAGCGUCAUUUCUCUCUCAAACCUUCGGGUUUGGUAUUGAGUGAUACUCUGUCAAGGGUUAACUUGAAAUAUUGACUUAGCAAGAGUGUACUAAUAAGCAGUCUUUCUGAAAUAAUGUAUUAGGUUCUUCCAACUCGUUAUAUCAGCUAGGCAGGUUUAGAAGUAUUUUAGGCUCGGCUUAACAACAAUAAACUAAAAGUUUGACCUCAAAUCAGGUAGGACUACCCGCUGAACUUAAGCAUA